AUUGAACGCUGGCGGCAGGCCUAACACAUGCAAGUCGAGCGGAUGAAGGGAGCUUGCUCCUGGAUUCAGCGGCGGACGGGUGAGUAAUGCCUAGGAAUCUGCCUGGUAGUGGGGGAUAACGUCCGGAAACGGGCGCUAAUACCGCAUACGUCCUGAGGGAGAAAGUGGGGGAUCUUCGGACCUCACGCUAUCAGAUGAGCCUAGGUCGGAUUAGCUAGUUGGUGGGGUAAAGGCCUACCAAGGCGACGAUCCGUAACUGGUCUGAGAGGAUGAUCAGUCACACUGGAACUGAGACACGAUCCAGGCUCCUACGGGAGGCAGCAGUGGGGAAUAUUGGACAAUGGGCGAAAGCCUGAUCCAGCCAUGCCGCGUGUGUGAAGAAGGUCUUCGGAUUGUAAAGCACUUUAAGUUGGGAGGAAGGGCAGUAAGUUAAUACCUUGCUGUUUUGACGUUACCAACAGAAUAAGCACCGGCUAACUUCGUG
RNAcentral lists this ribosomal RNA (484 nucleotides) under uncultured bacterium. RNAcentral describes it as "partial 16S ribosomal RNA". It matches the Rfam family "Bacterial small subunit ribosomal RNA", at positions 30 to 507 of the family's 1533-position model. The record is from RNAcentral.